ACCACUGUGUCUCAUAACUACUUAAAAAUACAAAACAAUGGUGUGGAGUGAAGGGAGAAAAUGAGUAAAACAGCUUGAGAAGAAAUUAUGAAUGAAACAGGAAAGAUGGACACGAGUGACGAUGAGCUGGUGUUUCUCAGGCCGCCUUGUCUUUCCGUUAUCACAGGAUGUAGCGCUGGGAAGAGCGAAGAAGCAGCGAAGGGAGGACCGGAGCCUUAGAGCAUGAUUUACUUGACCUCGCAGCGCUGGAACCAACAACCAGAACCUCAUUAAUUCCCAGGGUCAUUCUGCUCGGACAUAACUUGGUUAAAAAUCAGAAUGAGUGGAUGACUUCCAGACGUACACCAAGAGUUAUGAAAUCCCUGGCCUUAACCCAACCUCCCUGGAUCUCGUAGUACCCACUCCAAAACCAAAGCUUUCUCGAAACGGGGGUUUAAAUCACGUUGGGUCCUCUUGGAGGAGUCACCCAAUCCUGAUUGAAGGGAGGAGGCCAAAUGGAACAUUUUCUGCUUAUUAGGCAGCAAAUACGCUGUUGUUUUAUGUGAUUAUCAACUAUGAAUGAUUUUUCUCUCCCAUCCA
This is a long non-coding RNA of Poecilia reticulata (guppy), 579 nucleotides long. RefSeq lists it as uncharacterized. The record is from RefSeq and is a predicted model, not a curated record. NCBI's taxonomy places the organism in Eukaryota, Metazoa, Chordata, Actinopteri, Cyprinodontiformes, Poeciliidae.